Molecule: long non-coding RNA, 3676 nt
Organism: Passer montanus (Eurasian tree sparrow)
Lineage: Eukaryota; Metazoa; Chordata; Aves; Passeriformes; Passeridae
Exons: 3
Source: RefSeq, a predicted model, not a curated record
UGCCGGGCGGGGGAUCCCGAGGGAGCCAUCGAACCAGCCGAAACAGGGAGAGACAGCGAGAUUCGGGCUUGGCGCGCACCAAGCGUUUGGAAUUGGUAGCUCCGGUGAGGUUGCCCUCGCAGCGGCAGUGGCAGACCAGCACUUCAUUUCUAAUGAGAAGGCAGUCAUCCAAAAACCAGCUUAAUGAAAAUGCUGCAUUGCACUGGAUUAUUCCUGCUGUACACUGCUGAGGAAUGAGGUGAAUGGCUUUGGGAGCUUCUGAAACAAAAGUACCUGCAGUGCUUUUAUGAUAUUGCCAUUUUCUGUCAUCAGACAAUCUGGAAUACCUGGAAACACAGAUCUGUUUAGUCAUGAGAUGGACCAGAGAUCCCUGCUUGCUAAUUUGCUUAAGAUGGCAUGUUUGCCAUGGCUGGAAUUCAUCCUCCCUAACCCCUACCAUCUGAAAGCUAGGUGAGGUUAACACACAGUGUGAAGUACAGUACUGGUUCUUUCGUGUCCUCAUGGAGCAGACCCUGUCUCUAGGACUAGUGAAAUAGUUACCAUGUGCCCACAACCUUUGCCCACAUCCCAGACAUUAAGUAUUGGUUAUGAUUUUGUUCCCAGGAACUGUGGAAAUACCGGAAGUGGUAAGACUUUGUACAUGAACAUGACUAAGUGAAAUAUACACCCUUAAUCUUCCUGAGGAAAGUUCAGCUUUAAAUUUGACUCAGGAGAGUCAGGAGCAGUUGAUCUUCUGCUGGUACUUGUCUCAUCCUGUAGAAUAAGCUGGCAUUGAUAUGAUUUGAAUGUGUGAUUGUCAGAGUUGCUGUCUUGUUACAGCUUGAUGACUUAACCUUAGAAAUCAACUUUCUUUCAAUUUGAAAAGUUCUUGAGAACAAUGGAUUAAAAGAGAGAAAAGAUAACACAGGGAUGUUUUAGCUGUUGCUGAGCAGUGCUUGCACAGUGUCAGGGCCUUCUCUGUUUCUCGGGCUGUCCCAACAGGGAGCUGACUGGGGGUGCACAAGGAGCUGGGAGGGGACACAGCUGAGACAGCUGACCCCAACUGACCACAGGGAUAUUCCAGACCAUAUGAUGUUGUGCUCAGCAUAUAAGGCUGGGAGAAGAAGGAAGGAAAGGGUGAUGUUUGGACUGGCUGUGUUUCUCUUCCCAAGUCACCAAUACCUGGAGUGAAGCCCUGCUUUCCUGGAGAUGGCUGAAUGCCUGCCUGUUGAUAGGAAGUGAAUAAAUUCCUUCUUCUGCUUUGUUUGUGUGCAUGGCUUUUGCUUUCCCUAUUAAACUGUCUUUAUCUCAGCCCACGAAUUUUCCCACUUUUUUGUAAUUAUCUCCCUCAUCCCAUUGGGAUAAAUGGGCAUGUGGUUAUGUAGGGCUGAGCUGCCCACUAGGGUUAAACCUUGACAGUGCUAUUUUGGUGACCAACUUGGGGCUCAAAUGCUUUGAGUUAAUGAAUGGUUUGGCUGGAGUCUGCUAGACUGAAUUUAUAGCUUUUAGUGCUAUUUACCUAUUCAUUGGCAGGUGCUGUGGUUGACAUAGGACUUGCUUGCCCUGCUGCACAUUAGUCUAGAGCUUGUUAGUGGCUUCUUUUCACCCUGGCUGUUUGCUGUAGGGCUUAUCAUCCUACCCAGCUGUGCCUGGGAGCAUUUUGAUAACAGCCCUGGCGAUGUGCCUGUGCUGGCCCAUGGCCUGGGUGUCGCUGCUGGCCCAGACAGGCUGCAGCUCCAGUGCCACCUUGAAUUGAAGGGACCUGACCUGUGGAUAAGUACCUGCAGGAGCAGGACAACCUGAAGUGUCUGUGGUUGUGGAUGAGACCAUGUUGGAGCAGAAGCAUCUAUGGGCAUGGAUAUGUCCAUAGCAGAGCAGGUACACUCCUGGAGAGACUGUGGCCCUUGGAUGGGGCUGUGCUGGAGGAGGUGCACCUCAAAGUGACUGUGGCUGUGGCUGUGUGUAAGGCCAGGCCACAUCACCUGUACCCUGCAGAGACUGUGGCCCAUGAGUACACACACUGGAGCUGGUCCACCCCUAAGGGACUGGAGUCCCUGGAUAAGUCGACACUCAAAGAGAGAUAGAAACUAUAUAUAAUAUAUAUAUAUAUAUAUAAUGGAUGCACCUUUAAAUUGUUGUAAACUAUGAUCUGAGUUGCAUGUUAUAGGAUUACUGUAGCAGGAACCACUGCCAGUGGAGAACACGCCGUGCAAGAAGAGGGGCACGUGCAGCAGUGACCCGACCUGAGCUGGCUUUGGUGCCCAGUAAGUCCAGACAACACAGCAGCUCUCUGGUCCUGAGUGACCAUCCAUCCUGAGUGGAUGAAUGAAUCCAAUGGACAUUUCACAGGCAUUUUAUGGACAUUUUACAGGGAAUGAUACCUGUGAAGAUAUCAAAGGAUGGGAAAGAGGAAGGUGGCUAAUGAGUAUUUAUUGGAUGGUAUGGGACCUGAGCAUGAUGUAAAUAGUGGGAAUAAGGUGUGGAGAUUGUACUGGCUAUUGUUGGGAUAGAGUUAAUUUUCUUCAUGGUGGCUUGUAUGGUGCUAUGGUUUGGAUUUGUGAUGAAAACAGUGCUGAUAAAACAGUAAUGUUUGUGCUUCUCAUGUGACAUAGGGAACACCUGCACUGUGACCAAGGAGGAAGGAUGAGCACUCUCACCCUUGGAUAGGUAUUUUCCUCAUAUGCAAAGUGCAUGAGUUACAAGUUAAUGAAUUGCAUGUUAUGAAUUAGAGAACUUGUGAGUUACAAACCUCAUGACUGAAUUAGUGAAUUCAUGAUGAAUUAGUGAAUUCAUGAGCUAGACUAGUUUGUACAAAGGGGAUCGAGCCCUACUUCAUAAUGUUUUCUUUCUUUCCUAAUGAGCUUAUAAAAUAAAGUUUAAUUUGCAAAGUACAUUGUCCUGUGAAUAUGAGAGAUCCAAACAGACCAUGACAGAUUGAGUGGUCUGUGGCCCUUCUCCCUAUUGCCUGUCCAAAUAUUUUAAAACAGAGGCAAACAGGCAAUGACUAGGGAUCCUCUGAAAGGAGUAGGGAAAAUCCUUCAUAAAAUUUAAGUUCUGUGUGCCUUGUCUACUCCACAUUUUAUUUUCCUUUAAGGGCUUUGCCAAAGACUUCUGGUGGCUGCUUUUAUUUUUCAGGGAAGUUAUAGUCCACCCAGUCCUUCCCUCUUGUUUCACUCACUGUGGACUAUGGACUUUUAGUGUUAAUGUGUGUCAGCCAAAAUAAUUAAAAGCAAUGCACGCUGUAUCCCAGAAAACUAGAAAGGUUGCAAACGUGCUUCUUUCAUCACAGAGAAAUAUGCAAAAUCAAAUCACAGUCAGCAGGAAAAUGAAUAAGCUAUUUGAUAAUACCAUGUGCAACAAAACAGCAUCAUAAAAAUGAAAUUAUUUACAGUAGCAUUCAAAUCACACAGUCAUCAUUGAUUUAGUUUCCAAUUAUACAGAGGUAAUUGUAUUAACAAACUGCCUUAUUCACUUUGGUGGGAAAACAAUUGAAAGUUUUAGUGUCCUGGCAUCUGAAAAUAAUAAAUGAUAUUAUCUGUGCACCCAAUCCGACCAGAAUCCUAAUGCUUUUUUUACCCAGGGCAUAAUACAGUAUCAAUAUGCCUGAGAUGAAAGAUACUUCUAUGACUUUCUGGAGCCAAGACAGUUCUGGAAUAAAUCUAGAAUAGAAUAAGCAUUCUAGAAAUAAAUAUUGAAA